GACGAACGCUGGCGGCGUGCCUAACACAUGCAAGUCGAGCGGAGUCAGUAAGAGGAAGUUUUCGGAUGGAAUCUUAUUGAUUUAGCGGCGGACGGGUGAGUAACGCGUGAGCGACCAACCUUGCACAGGGGGAUAACGGACCGAAAGGUUCACUAAUACCGCAUGAGACCACGGUGUUGCAUGACACAGGGGUCAAAGGAGUAAUCCGGUGCAAGACGGGCUCGCGUCCGAUUAGGUAGUUGGAGGGGUAACGGCCCACCAAGCCUAUGAUCGAGGGCCGACCGAAGCGGGUGAUCGGCCACAUUGAAACUGAGAUACGGUCCAAACUCCUACGGGAGGCAGCAGUGGGGAAUAUUGGGCAAUGGGGGAAACCCUGACCCAGCAACGCCGCGUGAAGGAAGAAGGUUUUCGGAUUGUAAACUUCUGUCCUUGGUGAAGAGAAGAAGACGGUAGCCAAGGAGGAAGCCCCGGCUAACUACGUGCCAGCCGCCGCGGUAA
Molecule: ribosomal RNA, 498 nt
Filed under: uncultured bacterium
Lineage: Bacteria
Description: partial 16S ribosomal RNA
Rfam family: Bacterial small subunit ribosomal RNA
Source: RNAcentral